This is an RNA transcript of Glossina fuscipes, 986 nucleotides long. RefSeq lists it as uncharacterized. Lineage: Eukaryota; Metazoa; Arthropoda; Insecta; Diptera; Glossinidae. The transcript has 4 exons. The record is from RefSeq and is a predicted model, not a curated record.
UUUUAAUACUGAUACUGUUUAUUCUGUAAGAAUUGUUGUUUUGUAAAGAAAAACGGGCAAUUGCUAUAAGAAAAAAUGUGGUUCGAAAUUUUACCGUCGGCUGCCAUCAUUACUGUGGCUUUGGCUAUUCCCAUAUAUGCAACAUACGGUCUACAUAAAUUAGUUUUAGGCAAUCCCUAUCGCCGUAACAUGGAUGAGCGUUUCGAUCGUGUUAUGUAUUUACGUGACCGUAGACUAACAUACAAUCCAUACAUACUGAACGGCCUGGAAAAAAUUCCGGACAAAAAAGAUGAAGACGAGGAAGAAAAUUAAUAAAUUUUUGCCGCCUUAAGUUAUGAAUAAAUAAAGAAUAUUUAACAAUAAAACAGAAGCGCUACAGCUAAAUUUUUGUAAAAAUUGUUCUUAGACAUUCCUCAUCUGCGCGAAAACGACUUCAAUUUAAUAUUAAAGGCUAAAUGGAAUAGGUGACUGGAGCUCUCUUCUUCAUCCUUCUACAAAGAGAUAAACCAGAUGAGAAGACGAGCCUUAGUUAUUGUUGUUUUGAAACUUAAAAACUCGUAAGCUUGGCAACCGAUACAGAAAACAACACGACAACACCAUUUAGUUUUCUAAUCAUAAUGAAUUGUUAAGGUUACAAGUUAGUUUAAAUAUGGCACAGGCAAAUUGUGCGUGAUAGACAUCAUUCAGGUUUCUGCCAAUAACUCUAAAUGGGUUAAACAGCUCAUAACUAUAUUAACAUUGACCCAGUUUAAUAAAAUGCCAAGAAAAGCUUAUCUUAUCAAGUAAUACGGACGAAUCGAUAGUAUCAUUAAUUAACUUAAUUAAGAAGGAGACAACAAGAAUAAAUCUACGUUUCUCAAGUGGCAAAGAGACAAGUCGCCAUCCAAAAACCUAAGGGCAACCAACAACAAUUGCUUUUGAAAUGAUCCAAUUUUUUACAUCUACAAUCCACAUGACACCUACAGGGCGGAGACCACACAAACGAG